CUAAAAAAAAAGGAAGCGACCCACCUGAGUUUCGAUCUAAAAUCUCCAUGAAAAGCGCUCUCUGCUAAACAGCUUUGAUUGAUCUUGAACCCCACUUACCACCCUAUUCUCUCAAAUUCUCAACGACCCACAAAAAGCGGCAAAUUUUACUUUGCUUUUUCAAAGAAAAGUAAAGCAAUGACCAAUGAGAAUCAAGAAGACAUGUACUCUCUUCAGAGAGAAGAGGAGAAAGAUUUCGAUCUGGGAUCGGACGAGCCUGAGGCCCCGUUGCCCCUCACUGUCACUUCUCGGGUGCUGUAUAUGUUGGGG
This 309-nucleotide unclassified non-coding RNA is filed under the name Hevea brasiliensis (rubber tree). The record is from RNAcentral. Lineage: Eukaryota; Viridiplantae; Streptophyta; Magnoliopsida; Malpighiales; Euphorbiaceae.